This 253-nucleotide ribosomal RNA is filed under the name uncultured prokaryote. RNAcentral describes it as "partial 16S ribosomal RNA". It matches the Rfam family "Bacterial small subunit ribosomal RNA", at positions 524 to 776 of the family's 1533-position model. The record is from RNAcentral.
GACGAACCGUGCGAACGUUGUUCGGAAUCACUGGGCUUAAAGGGCGCGUAGGCGGCUCGCCAGGUCGGGGGUGAAAUCCCGCAGCUCAACUGCGGAAGUGCCUCCGAUACCGGCGGGCUCGAGGAAGGUAGGGGUGCGCGGAACUUCUGGUGGAGCGGUGAAAUGCGUUGAUAUCAGAAGGAACGCCGGCGGCGAAAGCGGCGCACUGGACCUUUUCUGACGCUGAUGCGCGAAAGCCAGGGGAGCAAACGGG